GGCCCUGUGGUCCAGUUGGUAGAGCAUAGCGCUUGCAACACCAGAGUUGUGGGUUCGACUCCCACUGGGGUCA
This 73-nucleotide transfer RNA is filed under the name Salmo salar (Atlantic salmon). It matches the Rfam family "tRNA". From Rfam's summary of the family: Transfer RNA (tRNA) molecules are approximately 80 nucleotides in length. The record is from Rfam by way of RNAcentral. Lineage: Eukaryota; Metazoa; Chordata; Actinopteri; Salmoniformes; Salmonidae.